CAACGACUCUCGGCAACGGAUAUCUCGGCUCUCGCAUCGAUGAAGAACGUAGCGAAAUGCGAUACUUGGUGUGAAUUGCAGAAUCCCGUGAACCAUCGAGUCCUUGAACGCAAGUUGCGCCCGAAGCCAUCCGGCCGAGGGCACGUCUGCCUGGGCGUCACGCA
RNAcentral lists this ribosomal RNA (164 nucleotides) under Punica granatum (pomegranate). RNAcentral's name for it is "5.8S ribosomal RNA". It matches the Rfam family "5.8S ribosomal RNA". From Rfam's summary of the family: 5.8S ribosomal RNA (5.8S rRNA) is a component of the large subunit of the eukaryotic ribosome. It is transcribed by RNA polymerase I as part of the 45S precursor that also contains 18S and 28S rRNA. Lineage: Eukaryota; Viridiplantae; Streptophyta; Magnoliopsida; Myrtales; Lythraceae. The record is from RNAcentral.